RNAcentral lists this ribosomal RNA (253 nucleotides) under uncultured bacterium. Its description in RNAcentral is "partial 16S ribosomal RNA". It matches the Rfam family "Bacterial small subunit ribosomal RNA", at positions 524 to 776 of the family's 1533-position model. The record is from RNAcentral.
UACGUAGGGGGCAAGCGUUGCCCGGAAUCAUUGGGCGUAAAGCGCGUGUAGGCGGUCCGGUAAGUCCGCUGUGAAAGUCGGGGGCUCAACCCUCGGAUGCCGGUGGAUACUGUCGGGCUUGAGUACGGAAGAGGCGAGUGGAAUUCCUGGUGUAGCGGUGAAAUGCGCAGAUAUCAGGAGGAACACCAAUUGCGAAGGCAGCUCGCUGGGACGUUACUGACGCUGAGACGCGAAAGCGUGGGGAGCAAACAGG